Halostagnicola sp. A56 is the source of this 68-nucleotide regulatory RNA element. It matches the Rfam family "eL15-Euryarchaeota ribosomal protein leader". The record is from Rfam. Lineage: Archaea; Methanobacteriati; Methanobacteriota; Halobacteria; Halobacteriales; Natrialbaceae.
CCUGUUCGACGCACGUCACAGGUCGGGAUGUGGAACGCGGGAGACUCUCUCGAGUUCUGAACCAGGAA